AGGCCUAACACAUGCAAGUCGAACGGUAACAGAAAGCAGCUUGCUGCUUUGCUGACGAGUGGCGGACGGGUGAGUAAUGUCUGGGAAACUGCCUGAUGGAGGGGGAUAACUACUGGAAACGGUAGCUAAUACCGCAUAACGUCGCAAGACCAAAGAGGGGGACCUUCGGGCCUCUUGCCAUCGGAUGUGCCCAGAUGGGAUUAGCUAGUAGGUGGGGUAACGGCUCACCUAGGCGACGAUCCCUAGCUGGUCUGAGAGGAUGACCAGCCACACUGGAACUGAGACACGGUCCAGACUCCUACGGGAGGCAGCAGUGGGGAAUAUUGCACAAUGGGCGCAAGCCUGAUGCAGCCAUGCCGCGUGUAUGAAGAAGGCCUUCGGGUUGUAAAGUACUUUCAGCGGGGAGGAAGGGAGUAAAGUUAAUACCUUUGCUCAUUGACGUUACCCGCAGAAGAAGCACCGGCUAACUCCGUGCCAGCAGCCGCGGUAAUACGGAGGGUGCAAGCGUUAAUCGGAAUUACUGGGCGUAAAGCGCACGCAGGCGGUUUGUUAAGUCAGAUGUGAAAUCCCCGGGCUCAACCUGGGAACUGCAUCUGAUACUGGCAAGCUUGAGUCUCGUAGAGGGGGGUGGAAUUCCAGGUGUAGCGGUGAAAUGCGUAGAGAUCUGGAGGAAUACCGGUGGCGAAGGCGGCCCCCUGGACGAAGACUGACGCUCAGGUGCGAAAGCGUGGGGAGCAAACAGGAUUAGAUACCCUGGUAGUCCACGCCGUAAACGAUGUCGACUUGGAGGUUGUGCCCUUGAGGCGUGGCUUCCGGAGCUAACGCGUUAAGUCGACCGCCUGGGGAGUACGGCCGCAAGGUUAAAACUCAAAUGAAUUGACGGGGGCCCGCACAAGCGGUGGAGCAUGUGGUUUAAUUCGAUGCAACGCGAAGAACCUUACCUGGUCUUGACAUCCACAGAACUUUCCAGAGAUGGAUUGGUGCCUUCGGGAACUGUGAGACAGGUGCUGCAUGGCUGUCGUCAGCUCGUGUUGUGAAAUGUUGGGUUAAGUCCCGCAACGAGCGCAACCCUUAUCCUUUGUUGCCAGCGGUCCGGCCGGGAACUCAAAGGAGACUGCCAGUGAUAAACUGGAGGAAGGUGGGGAUGACGUCAAGUCAUCGUGGCCCUUACGACCAGGGCUACACACGUGCUACAAUGGCGCAUACAAAGAGAAGCGACCUCGCGAGAGCAAGCGGACCUCAUAAAGUGCGUCGUAGUCCGGAUUGGAGUCUGCAACUCGACUCCAUGAAGUCGGAAUCGCUAGUAAUCGUGGAUCAGAAUGCCACGGUGAAUACGUUCCCGGGCCUUGCACA
This 1353-nucleotide ribosomal RNA is filed under the name uncultured bacterium. RNAcentral describes it as "bacterial SSU rRNA". It matches the Rfam family "Bacterial small subunit ribosomal RNA", at positions 44 to 1387 of the family's 1533-position model. The record is from RNAcentral.